CAGCAGCCGCGGUAAUACGAAGGGGGCUAGCGUUGUUCGGAAUUACUGGGCGUAAAGCGUGCGCAGGCGGUUGUGUAAGACAGGUGUGAAAUCCCCGGGCUUAACCUGGGAACUGCGCUUGUGACUGCACAGCUAGAGUAUGGCAGAGGGGGGUGGAAUUCCACGUGUAGCAGUGAAAUGCGUAGAGAUGUGGAGGAACACCGAUGGCGAAGGCAGCCCCCUGGGCCAAUACUGACGCUCAUGCACGAAAGCGUGGGGAGCAAACAGGAUUAGAUACCCCCGUAGUCCCUGUCUCUUAUAC
RNAcentral lists this ribosomal RNA (301 nucleotides) under uncultured bacterium. RNAcentral describes it as "partial 16S ribosomal RNA". It matches the Rfam family "Bacterial small subunit ribosomal RNA", at positions 509 to 807 of the family's 1533-position model. The record is from RNAcentral.